AGUACGGCCGCAAGGUUAAAACUCAAAUGAAUUGACGGGGGCCCGCACAAGCGGUGGAGCAUGUGGUUUAAUUCGAUGCAACGCGAAGAACCUUACCUGGUCUUGACAUCCACAGAACUUUCCAGAGAUGGAUUGGUGCCUUCGGGAACUGUGAGACAGGUGCUGCAUGAAAGUCGUCAGCUCGUGUUGUGAAAUGUUGGGUUAAGUCCCGCAACGAGCGCAACCCUUAUCCUUUGUUGCCAGCGGUUAGGCCGGGAACUCAAAGGAGACUGCCAGUGAUAAACUGGAGGAAGGUGGGGAUGACGUCAAGUCAUCAUGGCCCUUACGACCAGGGCUACACACGUGCUACAAUGGCGCAUACAAAGAGAAGCGACCUCGCGAGAGCAAGCGGACCUCAUAAAGUGCGUCGGGGUCCGGAUUGGAGUCUGCAACUCGACUCCAUGAAGUCGGAAUCGCUAGUAAUCGUAGAUCAGCAUCCCCCAUAAUACGUUCCCGGGCCUUGUACACACCGCCCGCCCCCCCUUGGAGUGGGUUGCAAAAGAAGUAGGUAGC
RNAcentral lists this ribosomal RNA (552 nucleotides) under Salmonella enterica. RNAcentral describes it as "bacterial SSU rRNA". It matches the Rfam family "Bacterial small subunit ribosomal RNA", at positions 879 to 1434 of the family's 1533-position model. Lineage: Bacteria; Pseudomonadati; Pseudomonadota; Gammaproteobacteria; Enterobacterales; Enterobacteriaceae. The record is from RNAcentral.